Molecule: ribosomal RNA, 422 nt
Filed under: Verrucomicrobiota bacterium
Lineage: Bacteria; Pseudomonadati; Verrucomicrobiota
Description: Verrucomicrobia bacterium partial 16S ribosomal RNA
Rfam family: Bacterial small subunit ribosomal RNA
Source: RNAcentral
UGGGGAAUUUUGCACAAUGGGCGCAAGCCUGAUGCAGCGACGCCGCGUGAGGGAUGAAGGCCUUCGGGUUGUAAACCUUUUUCGCUCAUGGUCAAGCCGCAGCUUUGGGUUGUGGUGAGGGUAGUGGGUAAAGAAGCGCCGGCUAACUACGUGCCAGCAGCCGCGGUAAUACGUAGGGCGCGAGCGUUGUCCGGAAUUAUUGGGCGUAAAGGGCUUGUAGGCGGUUGGCCGCGUCUGCCGUGAAAUCCUCUGGCUUAACUGGGGGCGUACGGUGGGUACGGGUUGACUUGAGUGCGGUAGGGGAGACUGGAAUUCCUGGUGUAGCGGUGGAAUGCGCAGAUAUCAGGAGGAACACCGGUGGCGAAGGCGGGUCUCUGGGCCGUUACUGACGCUGAGGAGCGAAAGCGUGGGGAGCGAACAGG